UCAAUUGUUUUAUUGCAUAAUUCUUGAUGCAAGCUUCACCGACACUCUUCAUUUGACACUAACCACAAUAUUUCCAUACUGGUACUAAUUCUGCAGCCUUUUGCCACUUUUUUUACUCUUUUUCAGGUUUGCCUUCUCUGUCUCAAAGUACUUGUUGCAAGGAAGCACGCCUAGCAUGUGAUAUAUGGUUUGCUUGAAGCUAGAACAUAAACCAACAAAAUCCAACAGGAACCAUCGGAACCUUUGUCUUCAUAAUGGUGAUUUUUCCCAAGACAUGCCACUUCGACUGAUGUAUCUCCCAAGAAAAGCAGAAUAGAAAAUUAAGAGAAGUUGCCUAGAAGGCGCGUCACAGCUUCUCUAGGCGACUUGCAUCUUCCUAGUCAGCAACAAGAUGCCAAAUCUGGGUAUUUUGGACCACGGACAUGCCAGAAGAGGUCUGAUCGACAAAACAUUACCCAGGCAAGGACAGGUCCAUACAGAAACGCACUGCUAGGCUGCAACGGAAUCUCGAUCCACACUGAGGAUGAAAACAACACCUUUUCUUCACAAGCUCAAGGGUGAGGGCAGCCAAGUACAGCAGAAGAAAUUAAUGCAAACAUAGGAAGAUGGGCAAUGCCCAAUUGUGGCCGUGGUGGGCAGCUAACUAGAUAGCUGCUUUUAUUGUAAGCACUCGACACCAAGUUUUUGAACUGACAUGCACGACACCUCUAGCCCUC
RNAcentral lists this long non-coding RNA (716 nucleotides) under Elaeis guineensis (African oil palm). RNAcentral's name for it is "long non-coding RNA (EGUI_LNC068785)". The record is from RNAcentral. Lineage: Eukaryota; Viridiplantae; Streptophyta; Magnoliopsida; Arecales; Arecaceae.